UAAUAGCACGAUUUAGCUGUAAAAGGAAUGGCAUUUCCUUAUGUUCUCAUCCUCUAGAAAUGCAAAGGAAGAUGGCGCUAAGCUGGAAGAGUCUGAUGGAACCUUGGACAUUUGAACAGUUCCAGGAGAUGAAGAUUAAUUUCCUGUGAGCGUGUAUUUUUUCCUAUCAUGGGGCAGGUCCGAGUGGAGGUGUUACUCAAUCCAGCGGAAACCAUGUGGAAGAGUGUGCUCCUUUGCCCUAAAACACUGUGCCACUGUGACACUUUGACUACACUUCUUCAUGCCAUGGACUCACCUCUGUGAUCCUCUCUCUUUCCUCCUGCUUGCCCAGUUUCAGCUCUGGAACAAUUCCUGUUGGCAGCCUCCUUUACACCAGAAUGCUGAAUGUUUUGGGCUAGCUGGCCCACAAGAAGGAGGAGGAUAUGCUGAUGACAGCAUGUUCAGGCCUGUGUAUUCAACCAAUGUGUUAGACUAGGGAUCCAUG
Molecule: long non-coding RNA, 484 nt
Filed under: Zonotrichia albicollis (white-throated sparrow)
Lineage: Eukaryota; Metazoa; Chordata; Aves; Passeriformes; Passerellidae
Description: lncRNA (ENSZALG00000003416.1)
Source: RNAcentral